Long non-coding RNA from Pezoporus flaviventris, 562 nucleotides. RefSeq lists it as uncharacterized. The transcript has 3 exons. Lineage: Eukaryota; Metazoa; Chordata; Aves; Psittaciformes; Psittacidae. The record is from RefSeq and is a predicted model, not a curated record.
AUAAACCCCAGUAGAGACUCUCACUUAGCCAAGGCCACUUCUGCAUCCACUGCAGAUGAGUGUGGUGCUCCAGGGAACCAGUUUUAUUCCAGGCUUCACCAGUGAUUCAUUUCUGGAUGCUGUCUGAGUGAUUCCCUUUGGGCCUCACUUUGCUUAACUUGAUCUGGAAACAGUGACCUAGAUGCAGUUGUCUUCUGCUUAACACCCAAAUGUUUGUUGUGGUCACUGCUUCAUAAGUAUGAAGGGAGGCUCCCGAAGCGGCCAGUUCACUGUGGUGCCAGGUGAAAAUGUGGUUGCAAUGCAAUUAGAAACGAAGACUAGUGCCAAGCUUUGCUUUGCAUUUGUUUCCUCUUGUGGAUCUCAACCCAAGCUUGCUGCUUUCCAGAUCCACGCUCUAAUUGACAUGCACCUUGUGGCGUGGCUGGAGGCUAUGCCAAUAAUGCACAUAUUCAUGGCAUGGCAGGCAGAUAGGCUCCCCCCCCCCCCCCAGACAUCAUAAUUCCAAGCAAACAUCAGACGAGCAGCUGGCUUUGAUGUGGGUCCUGAGUUUGCAACCUCAAAA